CCUACGUGGUGCAGCAGUGGGGAAUAUUGGACAAUGGGCGAAAGCCUGAUCCAGCCAUGCCGCGUGUGUGAAGAAGGCCUUCGGGUUGUAAAGCACUUUCAGUGGGGAAGAAAGCCUUGGGGCUAAUACCCUCGAGGAAGGACAUCACCCACAGAAGAAGCACCGGCUAACUCCGUGCCAGCAGCCGCGGUAAUACGGAGGGUGCGAGCGUUAAUCGGAAUUACUGGGCGUAAAGCGCGCGUAGGCGGUCUGAUAAGCCGGUUGUGAAAGCCCCGGGCUCAACCUGGGAACGGCAUCCGGAACUGUCCGGCUAGAGUGCAGGAGAGGAAGGUAGAAUUCCCGGUGUAGCGGUGAAAUGCGUAGAGAGCGGGAGGAAUACCAGUGGCGAAGGCGGCCUUCUGGACUGACACUGACGCUGAGGUGCGAAAGCGUGGGUAGCAAACAGGAUUAGAUACCCCGGUAGUC
RNAcentral lists this ribosomal RNA (465 nucleotides) under Vreelandella stevensii. RNAcentral's name for it is "partial 16S ribosomal RNA". It matches the Rfam family "Bacterial small subunit ribosomal RNA", at positions 338 to 795 of the family's 1533-position model. Lineage: Bacteria; Pseudomonadati; Pseudomonadota; Gammaproteobacteria; Oceanospirillales; Halomonadaceae. The record is from RNAcentral.